RNAcentral lists this ribosomal RNA (380 nucleotides) under uncultured eukaryote. RNAcentral's name for it is "partial 18S ribosomal RNA". It matches the Rfam family "Eukaryotic small subunit ribosomal RNA", at positions 592 to 976 of the family's 1831-position model. The record is from RNAcentral.
CAAUAGCGUAUAUUAAAGUUGUUGCAGUUAAAAAGCUCGUAGUUGGAUUUGUGGUGUACUUCGGCGGCCCGUCACUAUGUGAUGGAGCUUGCUGAAGUCGCCAUCCUUGGGUGGAUCCUGUGUGGCAUUAAGUUGUCGUGCAGGGGAUGCCCAUCGUUUACUGUGAAAAAAUUAGAGUGUUCAAAGCAGGCUUAUGCCGUUGAAUAUAUUAGCAUGGAAUAAUAAGAUAGGACCUUGGUACUAUUUUGUUGGUUUGCGCACCAAGGUAAUGAUUAAUAGGGACAGUUGGGGGUAUCCGUAUUUCAUUGUCAGAGGUGAAAUUCUUGGAUUUUUGAAAGACGAACUACUGCGAAAGCAUUUACCAAGGAUGUUUUCAUUAA